AACGCGAAGAACCUUACCAGGUCUUGACAUCCAACUAACGAGGUAGAGAUACGUUAGGUGCCCUUCGGGGAAAGUUGAGACAGGUGGUGCAUGGUUGUCGUCAGCUCGUGUCGUGAGAUGUUGGGUUAAGUCCCGCAACGAGCGCAACCCUUGAUCUUAGUUGCCAGCAUUUCGGAUGGGCACUCUAAGGUGACUGCCGGUGACAAACCGGAGGAAGGUGGGGAUGACGUCAAAUCAUCAUGCCCCUUAUGACCUGGGCUACACACGUACUACAAUGGCCGGUACAACGGGCAGUGAAACCGCGAGGUGGAACGAAUCCUAAAAAGCCGGUCUCAGUUCGGAUUGCAGGCUGCAACUCGCCUGCAUGAAGUCGGAAUUGCUAGUAAUCGCGGAUCAGCAUGCCGCGGUGAAUACGUUCCCGGGCCUUGUACACACCG
Molecule: ribosomal RNA, 437 nt
Filed under: uncultured bacterium
Lineage: Bacteria
Description: bacterial SSU rRNA
Rfam family: Bacterial small subunit ribosomal RNA
Source: RNAcentral